Trichonephila inaurata madagascariensis is the source of this 71-nucleotide non-coding RNA. The record is from the annotation of a GenBank genome assembly. Lineage: Eukaryota; Metazoa; Arthropoda; Arachnida; Araneae; Nephilidae.
GAGGAUAUAGCUCAGUGGUAGAGCAUUCGACUGCUAAUCGAAUGUUUCCGAUUUAAACUCGGGUGUCCUCU